Molecule: ribosomal RNA, 243 nt
Filed under: uncultured bacterium
Lineage: Bacteria
Description: partial 16S ribosomal RNA
Rfam family: Bacterial small subunit ribosomal RNA
Source: RNAcentral
GUAGGGGGCAAGCGUUGUCCGGAAUGACUGGGCGUAAAGGGCGUGUAGGCGGCCUGAUAAGUGUGAAGUGAAAGUCCUGCUUUUAAGGUGGGAAUUGCUUUGCAGACUGUCGGGCUUGAGUGCGGAAGAGGUAAGUGGAAUUCCCAGUGUAGCGGUGAAAUGCGUAGAGAUUGGGAGGAACACCAGUGGCGAAGGCGACUUACUGGGCCGUAACUGACGCUGAGGCGCGAAAGCGUGGGGAGC